RNAcentral lists this long non-coding RNA (879 nucleotides) under Homo sapiens (human). RNAcentral's name for it is "small nucleolar RNA host gene 17". Lineage: Eukaryota; Metazoa; Chordata; Mammalia; Primates; Hominidae. The record is from RNAcentral.
CAAAGUGCUGGGAUUACAGGCGUGAGCCACUGCACCCGGCCAGCCCAGUCUUUGAGAAGAGCCCCAGGAUUCUCAAUAUUUCUGCCCAUGUUUGCCUUCCUUUCUGCUUCUGGCAGGGAGUGGAUUGUCAGCUGACCUCUGUCCUGUGUGCCCAGUGGCCCCAGGUGACGUGUCUUCAAGAAGAGGCUGAGCUGCGGUGCUUGUAAGGGUCUCAUUCUGUCACCCAGGCUGGAGUGCAGUGGUGCAAUGAUGGCUCACUGCAGCCUCGACCUGGGCUCAAGUGAUCCUCCACCUCAGCUUCCUGAGUAGCUGGGACCACAGAGUCAUGUGCUGUUCCUGGGGCUUGGAUGAUGUAGGGGAAGCAAGGUGAAAGUGGUAUCCCGUGGUUCCACGUUCUGUCCUGCUGUGGGGCUGUCCCUCACAUGCUUUCAGUGGCUGUUGCAGAGGAAGAGCCUCCGGAAAUCUGCGUGGGUAAAGUCUCAGCCUUAGAUCCAAGGACAGUCCAAGGAAGUCCUAAGACCAUGGAGUUGGUGAUCUGGGAUCUGGGUUUGCUGAUAUUUCUCACCGUGAAUCUCUUGGUGGUGUUUGUGGGCACGAGAGGGGCAGAGAAUGGAGAGUGAGGCUACCACAUGAAGCGUCACCAGAGCUGCUCCCUGCUGCCUGCUCAGAGCACCCCGGAUCCACUGUUCAAUCUGCACAAGAUUCGGGGUCCAGACAUGGGAGACUUCAGCUGCCUCAGAGGACCGUGGACAGGGAAGGCCAGCCUCGCAUCCCUCUGUCCAUGCCUGGAAUGACUUUAAUAACCAAGAGUUUUAUUUUUGAAUUUGUAGCUGUCGUUCACUUUUUACCCACCCAUUCAAUAAACCUUACAGAAUUGCU